This 91-nucleotide non-coding RNA is filed under the name uncultured Frisingicoccus sp. RNAcentral describes it as "Glycine riboswitch". It matches the Rfam family "Glycine riboswitch aptamer", at positions 9 to 86 of the family's 94-position model. From Rfam's summary of the family: This family represents the bacterial glycine riboswitch. Glycine riboswitches usually consist of two metabolite-binding aptamers domains with similar structures in tandem. The record is from RNAcentral. Lineage: Bacteria; Bacillati; Bacillota; Clostridia; Lachnospirales; Lachnospiraceae.
GUCACUCUGGAGAAACUCAAUGAUGAGUGCCGAAGGUGCAACGUGCGGUCACGGAACCGUACCAAUCUCUCAGGCAAAAGGACAGAGGUAA